AAGACUGGGAUAACUCCGGGAAACCGGGGCUAAUACCGGAUAACUCAGUUCCUCGCAUGAGGAACGGUUGAAAGGUGGCUUUUCGCUACCACUUACAGAUGGACCCGCGGCGCAUUAGCUAGUUGGUGAGGUAACGGCUCACCAAGGCGACGAUGCGUAGCCGACCUGAGAGGGUGAUCGGCCACACUGGGACUGAGACACGGCCCAGACUCCUACGGGAGGCAGCAGUGG
Molecule: ribosomal RNA, 231 nt
Filed under: Bacillus sp. m2-29
Lineage: Bacteria; Bacillati; Bacillota; Bacilli; Caryophanales; Bacillaceae
Description: partial 16S ribosomal RNA
Rfam family: Bacterial small subunit ribosomal RNA
Source: RNAcentral